Molecule: long non-coding RNA, 1981 nt
Filed under: Homo sapiens (human)
Lineage: Eukaryota; Metazoa; Chordata; Mammalia; Primates; Hominidae
Description: HSALNT0073143
Source: RNAcentral
GCGCGCGCAGCCCGGGUUCCCGCUCUUGCCUCUCCCUCCACACCUCCCUGCAAGCUGAGGGAGCCUGCUCCGGCCUUGGCCAGCACAAAAAGGGGCUCCCACAGUGCAGCGGUGGGCUGAAGGGCUCCUCAAGUGCUGCCAAAGUGAGAGCCCAGGCAGAGGAGGCGCCAAGAGCGAGCGAGGGCUGUGAGGACUGCCAGCACGCUGUCACCUCUCAGCACUACUGACCAGUGUAAGGAAGAGCUGGUCACCUUGAAGGGGGGCAGUGGGAAGCCAGGAAUCAGCUUGUGCCCAGAGGGAAAGAAUUGAGCUGCUAAAACUGUAAGGGAGAGCUUACCUUGCAGACUGGCUGUGCAGCUGUGCGUGGGAGCCGGCUGCUGAGAGGAGCUGCAGAGCCGGAGCAAACAGCAGAGAUAAAGGUGGACAGUGAGAGAGCUAAUGAGCAAAAAGGGAAUUCAGAGGACAUCCUAAUGAAAAAUGAAAAUGGAUCAUCACACAAGUAGCUUAUUAUGAGAUGUAAAACCCCAUGAAAAAUUAAUAUAAUAUUUCUCAAGCAGGGUAAGUUGUGUGUAUGUUUUAAUAAUCCAGAACACAUGGAUAUUUUACAUCCAACUAGAAGGCAGAGAUGUAAGGUGAAAGUGACCUUGUAAUAAGGAAGAAUUCACGUAUGGCUGCAGGAUGCUUGAGUGAGCAGACUAACUGGUGACUGAAAUUAGAAAACCCUUCCAAUCAGUGUGAGGUAGAGAGAGCAUAUAUUGACAGAAUGACUGAAAUGACAUUGACAGCCAGUAGGUCUCAGGCUGCUCACACAUAAGUAAGCCUACAUGGGUAUCUUGGUGAAAGAAAUUACUUAUCAUUUUAUUUUAGUUUUUGAAGAGAGGAAGAGCGCAGAGAAAAGGUGUGUUUCUUUGGUUUGGGAAUGUGCAAAUUCCAUUUUCAAGCCUUGUAUUAGCUAGUUUAUAUUUUCUGUCAUUAGUAAUAUUCUUUUCUUCUCUAGGUAAAACAGCCUUGCUUUAGUGUAUUCGCUAGACCAAUGCUUCAUCCAUAAAGAAUAAUUUGGUGUUCCUAGAUAAAAACCUCUUCCUGCCCUUAUGCAGCACAGAGAUAAUAUUUUAAUAGCUGACUUGGUUAAUUGUGGGUUUCACGAGGCAAUGUAUUUUUGGUACAUUAGGAGACUAUCUACGUCUAACUCUUAAUCUUGAUGUCCCAAAGUUUUCCAUUUAAAAUAAUAUUGUUUUCCUAGGCAGCAUGGCUGACCCCUGCAUUUCCUUUUUUCUUUUGCUUCUCCUUGUACUGGUCUCUAACUUUCAAAUUUUCCAUAAUUAUAGAGACCAUAUAUCCCAGGCUUUCAGAAGCUGUCCAAUUUCUCCUUGCAGUUUUGCAAAUCACUGAAAUAAAUGUCCUAAGCAUCCAAAUAACAUUUGCUAUAUUGCCUAUCCCAUCAGAAAGCUGUACAAAAUUCCUGAGUCAGGUGCAUUGUGAUCCGUUUAUAAGGAAGAUAUGGUCUGUGAGCCCAUGUAAGGCAUGUUUGAAAACUUAAAUGAAUCCACUUAUUUGUAGGUUAUGAAUGCUUUGCUUUAGUCAGUAAGUAUGUUUUUACCAACAUAAGAAAAUGCUAUGUGUUGGUAAUGAUCCAAUUUUUCCUCCUUCCAAUAGUUAACUCUGUUUAAGUAUUUAUCGAAUGUCCACUUUAGGCAGGCUCCCUUUUACUUCUUGGCCACAGAUUCAGUUCCAAGUUCUUAGGAAAAAAAAAAAAGGAUUAAGAUGUGAGCUGAGCAGUCCAUGUGUUAACAUAGUCAUCUCAAAGAUAAAAUGUUUUCUAGCCCAGACACGGUGGCUCACGCCUGUAAUCCCAGCACUUUGGGAGGCCGAGGCGGGCAGAUCACAAGGUCAGGAGAUCGAGACCAUCCUGGCUAACACGGUGAAACCCCAUCUCUACUAAAAAUACAAAAAAAAAAAAAAAUUAGCCAGGCGUGGUGGU